GUUAUUCAAAAGGAAGAGUAAGAUAGGCCUAAUUUAAAUACUUUGGGUUUGGCCUAAUAGUAUGGAAUUAAACAUGAAGAUAUUCUUAUUAUCUGUUCUACUCUGAAUUUCAGCCUCAUUACUGAAAAAUGAUCCUAAGGCUCAAAAAAAGCACCUUUAAAAAGCUUCUAAAGCCACCUGCAUAUAUAGCUAGAUCACAAGC
Molecule: long non-coding RNA, 202 nt
Filed under: Fukomys damarensis (Damara mole-rat)
Lineage: Eukaryota; Metazoa; Chordata; Mammalia; Rodentia; Bathyergidae
Description: lncRNA (ENSFDAG00000023041.1)
Source: RNAcentral